RNAcentral lists this ribosomal RNA (505 nucleotides) under uncultured bacterium. RNAcentral's name for it is "partial 16S ribosomal RNA". It matches the Rfam family "Bacterial small subunit ribosomal RNA", at positions 28 to 507 of the family's 1533-position model. The record is from RNAcentral.
GACGAACGCUGGCGGCGUGCCUAAUACAUGCAAGUCGAACGCACAGUUUAUACCGUAGCUUGCUACACCAUAGACUGUGAGUUGCGAACGGGUGAGUAACGCGUAGGUAACCUGCCUGGUAGCGGGGGAUAACUAUUGGAAACGAUAGCUAAUACCGCAUAAUAUUGAUUAUUGCAUGAUAAUUAAUUGAAAGGUGCAAUUGCACCACUACCAGAUGGACCUGCGUUGUAUUAGCUAGUAGGUGAGGUAACGGCUCACCUAGGCGACGAUACAUAGCCGACCUGGGAGGGUGAUCGGCCACACUGGGACUGAGACACGGCCCAGACUCCUACGGGAGGCAGCAGUAGGGAAUCUUCGGCAAUGGACGAAAGUCUGACCGAGCAACGCCGCGUGAGUGAAGAAGGUUUUCGGAUCGUAAAGCUCUGUUGUAAGAGAAGAACGGGUGUGAGAGUGGAAAGUUCACACUGUGACGGUAUCUUACCAGAAAGGGACGGCUAACUACGUG